GACCUCUUAGAAGGAAGGCUCAUCUAUACACUUCAAGGACAUACGGGACCUGUCUUUACUGUUUCAUUUUCAAAAGGUGGAGAGCUAUUUGCAUCAGGAGGUGCAGACACACAGGUCUUAUUAUGGAGGACUAACUUUGAUGAAUUGCAUUGUAAAGGUCUUACCAAAAGAAAUCUCAAAAGAUUACAUUUUGAUUCACCACCACAUCUUCUUGAUAUCUACCCAAGAACACCACAUCCCCAUGAGGAAAAAGUUGAGACUGUAGAAGUGAGUAUUUUGUUCAUAUUUGUCCUACAUUUUGUGUACAUUUUGAGGCUUUUGCUGAAGGAGGUGUUUGAAAUUACUGAAUUAUAUAUAAAACCUA
RNAcentral lists this long non-coding RNA (364 nucleotides) under Homo sapiens (human). RNAcentral describes it as "non-protein coding lnc-GALNT4-1:3". Lineage: Eukaryota; Metazoa; Chordata; Mammalia; Primates; Hominidae. The record is from RNAcentral.